This 571-nucleotide ribosomal RNA is filed under the name Tuber walkeri. Its description in RNAcentral is "eukaryotic LSU rRNA". It matches the Rfam family "Eukaryotic large subunit ribosomal RNA", at positions 56 to 643 of the family's 3401-position model. Lineage: Eukaryota; Fungi; Ascomycota; Pezizomycetes; Pezizales; Tuberaceae. The record is from RNAcentral.
GAAAAGAAACCAACAGGGAUUGCCUUAGUAACGGCGAGUGAAGCGGCAAAAGCUCAAAUUUGAAAUCUGACACCUCUGGUGUUCGAGUUGUAAUUUGGAGAGGCAUCUUCUGGAGGGACCCAGCCUAUGUGCCUUGGAACAGGACGUCAUAGAGGGUGAGAAUCCCGUUCUUGGCUGGAUGUUCCCUCCUUUAUGUAGUGUCUUCUACGAGUCGAGUUGUUUGGGAAUGCAGCUCAAAAUGGGUGGUAAAUUUCAUCUAAAGCUAAAUACUGGCGAGAGACCGAUAGCGCACAAGUAGAGUGAUCGAAAGAUGAAAAGCACUUUGAAAAUAGAGUCAAAAAGUACGUGAAAUUGUUGAAAGGGAAGCGCUUGAGACCAGAGUCAGCCUUUGGCAAACAAUUGUCCUUCUGGGCGGUGCACUUGUCAUUGGUUGGGCCAGCAUCGGUUGGGACGGUGGGAUAAAGGCUUGGGAAAUGUGACUCCAUUAUGGAGUGUUAUAGUCCCAGGUGGCAUGCCAUCAGUUCCGACCGUGGACCGCGCCUUGGCUCGGAUGUUGGCUUAAUGGUCUUCA